Molecule: ribosomal RNA, 244 nt
Filed under: Francisella tularensis
Lineage: Bacteria; Pseudomonadati; Pseudomonadota; Gammaproteobacteria; Thiotrichales; Francisellaceae
Description: partial ribosomal RNA
Rfam family: Bacterial small subunit ribosomal RNA
Source: RNAcentral
UUACCAUCAUUAAGUUGGGUACUCUAUUGAGACUGCCGCUGACAAGGCGGAGGAAGGUGGGGACGACGUCAAGUCAUCAUGGCCCUUACGACCAGGGCUACACACGUGCUACAAUGGGUAUUACAGAGGGCUGCGAAGGUGCGAGCUGGAGCGAAACUCAAAAAGGUACUCUUAGUCCGGAUUGCAGUCUGCAACUCGACUGCAUGAAGUCGGAAUCGCUAGUAAUCGCAGGUCAGAAUACUGC